GACGAACGCUGGCGGCGUGCUUAACACAUGCAAGUCGUACGGUAAGGCCCUUUCGGGGGUCCACGAGUGGCGAACGGGUGAGUAACACGUGAGUAACCUGCCCACAACUUUUGGAUAACGCUAGGAAACUGGUGCUAAUACUGGAUAUGUGCUCCUGCUGCAUGGUGGGGGUUGGAAAGCUCCGGCGGUUGUGGAUGGACUCGCGGCCUAUCAGCUUGUUGGUGGGGUAGUGGCCUACCAAGGCGGCGACGGGUAGCCGGCCUGAGAGGGUGACCGGCCACAUUGGGACUGAGAUACGGCCCAGACUCCGACGGGAGGCAGCAGUGGGGAAUAUUGCACAAUGGGCGCAAGCCUGAUGCAGCAACGCCGCGUGCGGGAUGACGGCCUUCGGGUUGUAAACCGCUUUCAGCAGGGACGAAGCUUUUUGUGACGGUACCUGCAGAAGAAGCACCGGCUAACUACGUG
This 465-nucleotide ribosomal RNA is filed under the name uncultured bacterium. RNAcentral's name for it is "partial 16S ribosomal RNA". It matches the Rfam family "Bacterial small subunit ribosomal RNA", at positions 28 to 507 of the family's 1533-position model. The record is from RNAcentral.